Molecule: non-coding RNA, 387 nt
Organism: Vicia faba (fava bean)
Lineage: Eukaryota; Viridiplantae; Streptophyta; Magnoliopsida; Fabales; Fabaceae
Source: the annotation of a GenBank genome assembly
AUGAAAGUUGAAGGAGUUUUGAGGAUUUUUUUCCACCUUGCCCUAACUCAAAACACAAAACAGAGAACCAAUCUUCAAUCUUCUUGUAUCACACGCUUUCGCCUCAGCUUUCGAGUUUUCUUCUCACAAUCAUCUUUCAAGCUUCGCCUACGUUGUCUGCUUCGUUUCUCAGUGCAGCCGCCAUCUGUUUUCCUUUCUCAGCGCCGCCGCCGUCUGCUUUGUUUCUCAGUGCCGCCGCCGACUUUUCAUUUCUCAGCGCCGCAGCCGUCUGUUACGUUUCUCAGCGCCGCCGCCGCCUGUUUCGUUUCUCAGUGCCGCCGCUGUCUGCUUCGUUUCUUAGUGAUGCCGCCCCUGUUCUGCGCCUCCGUAUCUGCGUUUCUCAUGUAG